This 432-nucleotide ribosomal RNA is filed under the name uncultured Lachnospiraceae bacterium. RNAcentral describes it as "partial 16S ribosomal RNA". It matches the Rfam family "Bacterial small subunit ribosomal RNA", at positions 341 to 792 of the family's 1533-position model. Lineage: Bacteria; Bacillati; Bacillota; Clostridia; Lachnospirales; Lachnospiraceae. The record is from RNAcentral.
ACGGGAGGCAGCGGUGGGGAAUAUUGCACAAUGGGGGAAACCCUGAUGCAGCGACGCCGCGUGAGUGAAGAAGUAUUUCGGUAUGUAAAGCUCUAUCAGCAGGAAAGAAAAUGACGGUACCUGACUAAGAAGCCCCGGCUAACUACGUGCCAGCAGCCGCGGUAAUACGUAGGGGGCAAGCGUUAUCCGGAUUUACUGGGUGUAAAGGGAGCGUAGACGGUAAGGCAAGUCUGAAGUGAAAUGCCAGGGCUCAACCCUGGAACUGCUUUGGAAACUGUCCUACUAGAGUGCAGGGGAGGUAAGUGGAAUUCCUAGUGUAGCGGUGAAAUGCGUAGAUAUUAGGAGGAACACCAGUGGCGAAGGCGGCUUACUGGACUGUAACUGACGUUGAGGCUCGAAAGCGUGGGGAGCAAACAGGAUAGUACCCUGGUA